UCAGUUUACUCGGGUUGGGGAUAACCUGGAGCCUACUGCCCGGGAAGAUCCGGACUCAGACCGAAGGAAACCGACCAUUAAAAAAAUGCAUCCAAUGGGAAUUUUUCCACUCGGGCCCUCGGCUGCCGAGUCGCGGCAGACUCCGGGAGCUAUUUCACCGGCCGACGCGGACUCGGGGCAGUUUCGGAAGGACCCCACCAUCGGGGGCGAGGACUAGGCUCCCAGUGCAUUGUUAGCAGAAGGGCGCCCUCCGGGCGGCGCGCCUCGGCCCUUUGCUCCUGGAGAGCUCCCGGCGCCCGCCCAGGGCCGGGACCGGCAGCACCAUAGGCCACCUCUCCGCGCCUUCUAGGGUCCAACCCUUCGCACUUCACCUGGACCAGAUGGCCCAAGUCCCAGCGUUCGGCCAGAGCCGCCUAUGCAAUGCUACUCCAAGCCCCAAGAAACCUACGCUACCGCGGGACGUUCCCUCCACACUGGUCAACAGGUCUGCAGAGCGCAGCACUCAAGAUCGCGGCACCGUCAUCCCCACCCAGCCGUGAGGCCAGCCGACUUUUGGCCCGCCUUGUCGGCCCCCGCCACCCAGAGACCUCCCCCGUCUUUCUGCAGGGCCGCCGCCGAUCCCUCCAGUUGGGGCAGCCUCAGGAGUCCGGGGCGCAGCGAGGAGACAUCCCCCCCACCCCACUCCUCCCCCAGGCGCUCUCGGCCUGACUCCCUUCUCCCCAACCUCCCAAACAGGUUACCUUGUCCACGCUCUCCAGACCACGCUUUGGACUUUUUCACUUUUAUUUAAGAGUCCACCCGGGGAAGGAGGAAAAAAAAAUCCAGAGGAGAUCCGAGUCAAUUGGAAAGAAAAAAAAAAUUCAAAAGGGUGUCCACAGCGGCGAAAAAGCCCAGACUCUGCCGACCUUCAAACGACAACAGGGCUUUCAGGAGGGUGCGGGGAGACCACUUCCCACCCGAACCUGGCCAGAAACCCGGCACCCCCAGCCACAUCGGCCCUCUUUCGGGCAGAAGGGAUUCCAGCUCCACCACCCGGAGGCCCCCUUCCGGGUCCUGGGCAAACACUGAGGUUGCUAAUGGCCACCCCACCGGAGCCGCUACUCCCCCUUCCUGACGCACUCCUCCAAGUGCUUGAGAAGGCUCCUCCGUGGCAAAAAUGUAGUGUAGGUCUCUCUUCCAACUUCUACUGUGCCUGGCAAAGAGCCCGUUACCUUCACUGCACUGAUCAGUACAGUCACCCCAGUAAGCCUAGCGCCCCCAAUUCCUUGCAGCAGCAGCUGUGUCUCCCAUUGGGAGUUGCUCAGUAUGCAACUAGAUUAAACUGAGGACUUGCCCUCCUGUUUUCACCGUG
Puma concolor (puma) is the source of this 1351-nucleotide long non-coding RNA. RefSeq lists it as uncharacterized. NCBI's taxonomy places the organism in Eukaryota, Metazoa, Chordata, Mammalia, Carnivora, Felidae. The record is from RefSeq and is a predicted model, not a curated record.